GACAGAGGGGGCAAGCGUUGCUCGGAAUCACUGGGCGUAAAGGGCGCGUCGGCGGGAUGGCAAGUCGGUCGUGAAAUCCUUCGGCUCAACCGAAGAACGUCGGCCGAUACUGCCGUUCUUGAGGGAUGCAGAGGAGAUUGGAAUUCCCGGUGUAGCGGUGAAAUGUGUAGAGAUCGGGAGGAACACCGGUGGCGAAGGCGGGUCUCUGGGCAUCUCCUGACGCUGAGGCGCGAAAGCGUGGGGAGCAAACGGG
This 253-nucleotide ribosomal RNA is filed under the name uncultured bacterium. RNAcentral describes it as "partial 16S ribosomal RNA". It matches the Rfam family "Bacterial small subunit ribosomal RNA", at positions 524 to 776 of the family's 1533-position model. The record is from RNAcentral.